GCCGGGCAUGGCGGUGCGCGUCUAUAAUCCCAGGUACUCGGGAGGCUGAGGUGGGAGGAUCGCUUGAGUCCAGGAGUUCUGGGCUGCAGUACGCUAUGCUGCCUGGGUAUCCACACUAAGUUCGGCAUCAAUAUGGUGACCUCCCAGAAGCAGGGCACCACCAGGUUGCCUGAGGGGUGAACCGGCCCAGGUAGGAAACGGAGCAGGUAAAAAGUCCCGUGCUGACCAAAAUACCCAGAGGAAGGUUGGCAACCUGUUCAGAACAAAAUCCUGCCAACCAUUCUCAA
Fukomys damarensis (Damara mole-rat) is the source of this 287-nucleotide non-coding RNA. NCBI's taxonomy places the organism in Eukaryota, Metazoa, Chordata, Mammalia, Rodentia, Bathyergidae. The record is from Rfam.